UAAUAUUAAGACACUGAGAUUUGUUACCGUGGCACUAUAUGCGCGUUAUAAAAAAUGCCUUAAAAAAGCAAAUAUCAUCCAUGAUCAGAUCAAGGGUGAACUGGUUAGCGAUGAAAAUCUGAACUCAGAUAAAAGCUUUCAUUUAUAUAUUAAAUUUAUAUAUUACUUAAUGACAUACAAUUUUUGAAAAGUACGGUAUAUAUGUGAGGUAAAAAAACACAACAAUAUUAAACCAUUUUGAGGACAUACUCAAGUGUGGAAACAAAAUGAAUCCUGUAAAUGUAAUCGGGAUGUUUUUUUUUUAAACUGUUUCUGUAAUCCUUGCACGCUCUCUUUCAGUACUUUGCGCGAGAGAUACGUUUUAGAUCAUGUAGCUGAACAGACAAUCUUUUUUAGUGGCAUGCAUGGGUGAUUUUAGUAACUAUCUACCGUAUGUUGAAAUUAUAUAUCAGUGAGUUAAGCGGCCUUCAACCUUCAAAUGUUUACAUGUGAUAUGUAAACACUACUGAUAUAUUUGUUUACAUCACGCCGUUCAAUAAAUUCUGCUACAAAAUGGAGCUAAAUUGGAGCAGCUUAAUGUUCUGUGGUGUUGUGCUUUUUCUAGGAUAUAUUUCAGCACAGGUUUUCAAUUUACUCGUUAGUUUCAACAGAAAAUGUCGGGCACUUCGUAAACUACCACAGCUACCCUCACACUGGCUUUAUGGACAUUCUCGAGAGAUAAAUGCUGAGUCAUCAAAGUCAUUUCUAAAUGUUUCAAUGCGUGCCAUGGAAGAACUGGACGCCAAAGUAUUCCUGAUAUGGUGUGGCUCUUUCCCUUUUGUACAGAUUUGCCACCCAGACACAUUUAAACAGGCCAACCAUAAGGUUUUAACAAAAGACACUAGUUUGGCCGGCCCAUACCGUCUGCUGCGAGAGUUCAUCGGUGAAGGUCUUCUGGGAAGUAACGGAAAAAAGUGGGAAAGAAACCGGAAACUACUUACGCCAGCCUUCCACUUCCACAUAUUGUCAGAAUAUGUUUCUAUAAUGAAUAAAACCGUCGAUGUUCUUAUGGAUAAGCUUGAAACGGCUGCAGCCAACGGAAAAAGCGUGGACGUAUUCCCGUACAUCUGUCGAUCAGCUUUGGACAUCUUAGUUUCCUGUUCCCUGUCUUAUGAAGGAAACUUUCAAGACUACCGUAAACCAUGGCAGCUGGUAGACUUCCUCUUCUACCUGUCUCCCACAGGGCGGGAACUGAAACGACUGUGUAAAACUUCGAGGAGUUUCACUGAAAGUAUUAUCAAAACAAGGAAAGAAGAACUGGAGAAACAGCCAAGCAUAAAAGAAAAGAGAUGCCUAGAUUUUCUGGACAUGCUCUUGACUGUACGUGAUGAACAAGGUAACGGGCUGACGUUUGGAGAAAUACAUGACGAAGUUGAUACUUUUACAUUUGCAGGUCACGACACGACGGCAUGUACGAUCGACUGGACAAUGUAUGCACUUGGAUUACAUCGUGAAGCUCAGGAAUUGGUUUACCAAGAUGUGUGUGAGGUUCUUGGUGACGAAACAGAUGUCAAAACAGAACAUUUGGGGAAGUUUUCAUACCUGGUGCAGUUUAUAAAAGAAGCCAUGAGGUACUACAGUCCGGUCCCAGGAUUUACAAGACGAAAUGAACACCCUAUUGAAAUUGAUGGAUACGAAAUACCAAGCGGAACUGGCAUUAAUUUACAGCCGUACCUAAUUCAUCACAACAAGAACGUAUGGCAAGAACAUAAUGAGUUUAGACCUGAACGGUUUGAUGCGGAUCACAGAGAUGACAAUGAAAUUUAUGGAUUUUUGCCGUUCUCAGCAGGAUCCAGAAAUUGUAUAGGACAAGUGUUUGCCAUGAAUGAAGUGAAAAUAACGAUUGCCAAGUUGGUAUACAAGUAAAUUCCCUAAUCCAGAACUAGCGACUUUAGCUUCUAAACAUGAAUGUACAUUUGAUCAAAUGUACGACGGAAGUUUGAGAUUAUGAAAGACCCCGACCACGAGACGGACAUUCGUCCUGAGAUUGUAAUGCGGCCAUCAAAUGGAAUAAAAUUGUUUCUCAAGAAAAGACAAAACUAAUACAUACAGUUUAUUCAGUGUUUAAGACCCCGACCAUGAGACAGACAUUCGUCCUGAGUUUGUAAUGCGACCAUCAAAUGGGAUAAAAGUGUUUCUCAAGAAAAGACAAAACUAAUACAUACAGUUUAGUCAGUGUUUAAGAUACCGACCAUGAGACAGACAUUCGUCCUGAGUUUGUAAUGCGACCAUCAAAUGGGAUAAAAGUGUUUCUCAAGAAAAGAUAAAAUAAUAUCUAAUUCUGUAUUGCCACUUAUUCAUAAAAUGACUUUCGUUUCCGUCAGCAGAGUCCAGGCUUUAUUCUACGUUUUCUAUAUAAAUGACGUAACGUCAUUAGUUCCGGUUUAUCAAAUGUGUCAUUUUUAUUUACGCUCGGUAGAUGCUCGAGCGU
RNA transcript from Mercenaria mercenaria, 2470 nucleotides. It is a transcript of the gene named cytochrome P450 4A25-like, with no coding region annotated. Lineage: Eukaryota; Metazoa; Mollusca; Bivalvia; Venerida; Veneridae. The record is from RefSeq and is a predicted model, not a curated record. The transcript is spliced from 11 exons.